CUGACCUGCCCAGUGAUUAAUUUAACGGCCGCGGUAUACUGACCGUGCAAAGGUAGCAUAAUCAUUAGUCUUUUAAUAGAGGGCUGGAAUGAAAGGUUUAACGAGGAACUGACUGUCUCAUUUUAUUUGUUUUAAAAUUUAAUUUUUUAGUUAAAAAGCUAAAAUUUCAUUGGAAGACGAGAAGACCCUAUAGAUCUUUAUAGAAAAAUAAAUAAUUAUUAAUAUAUAAAUAUAAUUAUUUAUUUUUCUAUUUUGUUGGGGUGACAAAAAUAUAAAACUAACUUUUUUAUUUAUAUAACAUUGAUUUAUGAAUAUAGGAUCCAUUACUAGUGAUUAUUAGAUUAAGUUACCUUAGGGAUAACAGCGUAAUCCUCCUCCAGAGUUCAUAUUUACAGGAUGGGCUUGCGACCUCGAUGUUGGAUUAAGAUAAUAAUCAGGUGUAGCCGCUUGAUUUAUAGGUCUGUUCGACCUUUAA
RNAcentral lists this ribosomal RNA (475 nucleotides) under Trithemis adelpha. RNAcentral describes it as "partial 16S ribosomal RNA". It matches the Rfam family "Bacterial large subunit ribosomal RNA", at positions 1854 to 2591 of the family's 2925-position model. Lineage: Eukaryota; Metazoa; Arthropoda; Insecta; Odonata; Libellulidae. The record is from RNAcentral.